AAAAUCAUAGUUAAAUUGGCAAUAACAUAUACUAAUAACAUUCUAAAAUAACUAUAUUAGUAUAAAUUAUCAGUUCAAAUCUGGUUGAUUUUA
This 93-nucleotide transfer RNA is filed under the name Moniliophthora roreri. Its description in RNAcentral is "tRNA-Tyr". Lineage: Eukaryota; Fungi; Basidiomycota; Agaricomycetes; Agaricales; Marasmiaceae. The record is from RNAcentral.